Molecule: ribosomal RNA, 440 nt
Filed under: uncultured bacterium
Lineage: Bacteria
Description: bacterial SSU rRNA
Rfam family: Bacterial small subunit ribosomal RNA
Source: RNAcentral
CCUACGGGGGGCUGCAGUGGGGAAUAUUGCACAAUGGGGGAAACCCUGAUGCAGCAACGCCGCGUGAGCGAUGAAGGCCUUCGGGUCGUAAAGCUCUGUCCUAAGGGAAGGAUACUGACGGUACCUUAGGAGGAAGCCCCGGCUAACUACGUGCCAGCAGCCGCGGUAAUACGUAGGGGGCUAGCGUUAUCCGGAAUUACUGGGCGUAAAGGGUGCGUAGGCGGACCUUCAAGUCAGAGGUGAAAGGCUACGGCUCAACCGUAGUAAGCCUUUGAAACUGUAGGACUUGAGUGCAGGAGAGGAGAGUGAAUGUCCCAGUGUAGAGGUGAAAUGCGUAGAUAUUUGGAGGAACAUCAGUUGCGAAGGCGGCUCGAUGGACUGUAACUGACGCUGAGGUACGAAAGCGUGGGGAGCGAACAGGAUUAGAUACUCCUGAAGUC